CCAAUAGCGUAUAUUAAAGUUGUUGCAGUUAAAAAGCUCGUAGUUGAAUUUCGGGGUUAGCAGGUUGGUCGUGCCAAUGGUAUGCACUGGCCUUGCUGAUUCCUCCCUCUUGUAGAACCGUAAUGCCAUUAAGUUGGUGUUGCGGGGAAACAGGACUGUUACUUUGAAAAAAUUAGAGUGUUUAAAGCAGGCUAACGCUUGAAUACAUUAGCAUGGAAUAAUGAAAUAGGACGAUCGAUCCUAUUUUGUUGGUUUCUAGGAUUGACGUAAUGAUUAAUAGGGAUAGUUGGGGGCAUUAGUAUUCAAUUGUCAGAGGUGAAAUUCUUGGAUUUAUUGAAGACUAACUACUGCGAAAGCAUUUGCCAAGGAUGUUUUCAUUAAUCAAGAACGAAAGUUAGGGGAUCGAAGACGAUCAGAUACCGUCGUAGUCUUAACCAUAAACUAUGCCGACUAGGGAUCGGAUGAUGUUAAUUUUUUAAUGACUCAUUCGGCGCCUUACG
This 500-nucleotide ribosomal RNA is filed under the name uncultured Glomeromycotina. RNAcentral describes it as "partial small subunit ribosomal RNA". It matches the Rfam family "Eukaryotic small subunit ribosomal RNA", at positions 591 to 1092 of the family's 1831-position model. Lineage: Eukaryota; Fungi; Glomeromycota. The record is from RNAcentral.